Molecule: ribosomal RNA, 477 nt
Filed under: uncultured bacterium
Lineage: Bacteria
Description: bacterial SSU rRNA
Rfam family: Bacterial small subunit ribosomal RNA
Source: RNAcentral
GAUCCUGGCUCAGGAUGAACGCUGGCGGCGUGCCUAACACAUGCAAGUCGAGCGAUUCUCUUCGGAGAAGAGCGGCGGACGGGUGAGUAACGCGUGGGUAACCUGCCUCAUACACAUGGAUAACAUACCGAAAGGUAUGCUAAUACAGGAUAAUAUAAGAGAUUCACAUGGAUUUCUUAUCAAAGCUCCGGCGGUAUGAGAUGGACCCGCGUCUGAUUAGCUAGUUGGUAAGGUAACGGCUUACCAAGGCGACGAUCAGUAGCCGACCUGAGAGGGUGAUCGGCCACAUUGGAACUGAGACACGGUCCAAACUCCUACGGGAGGCAGCAGUGGGGAAUAUUGCACAAUGGGCGAAAGCCUGAUGCAAGCAACGCCGCGUGAGUGAUGAAGGCCUUCGGGUCGUAAAACUCUGUCCUCAAGGAAGAUAAUGACGGUACUUGAGGAGGAAGCCCCGGCUAACUACGUGCCAGCAGCAGC